Molecule: ribosomal RNA, 450 nt
Filed under: uncultured bacterium
Lineage: Bacteria
Description: partial 16S ribosomal RNA
Rfam family: Bacterial small subunit ribosomal RNA
Source: RNAcentral
GUGGGGAAUUUUGCGCAAUGGCCGCAAGGCUGACGCAGCAACGCCGCGUGGGUGAUGAAGGCCUUCGGGUCGUAAAGCCCUGUCAGGUGGGAAGAAAGGCCUGGAGAGGAAAGGUUUCAGGUUUGACGGUACCACCAGAGGAAGCACCGGCUAACUCCGUGCCAGCAGCCGCGGUAAUACGGAGGGUGCGAGCGUUAUUCGGAAUUACUGGGCGUAAAGCGCGUGUAGGCGGGGGGACAAGUCUGAUGUGAAAGCCCUGGGCUUAACCUGGGAAGCGCAUUGGAAACUGUUUUUCUUGAGUACUGGAGAGGAAGGGGGAAUUCCCGGUGUAGAGGUGAAAUUCGUAGAGAUCGGGAGGAAUACCAGUGGCGUAGGCGCCCUUCUGGACGGUAACUGACGCUGAGACGCGAAAGCGUGGGGAGCAAACAGGAUUAGAAACCCGGGUAGUCC